Molecule: ribosomal RNA, 119 nt
Organism: Lepisosteus oculatus (spotted gar)
Lineage: Eukaryota; Metazoa; Chordata; Actinopteri; Semionotiformes; Lepisosteidae
Source: Ensembl
ACCAGCAGCCACAUCACUCUGCAACUCACAACUGGUAACCCACUGAAGCUCAGCAGGUGUGAGCCUGGUCAGUACCUGGAUGGGAGACCUCCUGGGAAAAACUAAGGUUGCUGCUGGAA